UACAGAGGGUGCGAGCGUUAAUCGGAAUUACUGGGCGUAAAGCGCACGUAGGUGGCGACGAAAGUCGGGUGUGAAAGCAGCGGGCUCAACCUGGGAAUUGCAUUCGAUACUGCAUUGCUGGAGUACGGAAGAGGAGGGCGGAAUUCCCGGUGUAGCGGUGAAAUGCGUAGAUAUCGGGAGGAACAUCAGUGGCGAAGUCGGCCCUCUGGUCCAGUACUGACACUCAAGUGCGAAAGCGUGGGGAGCAAACAGG
This 253-nucleotide ribosomal RNA is filed under the name uncultured bacterium. RNAcentral describes it as "partial 16S ribosomal RNA". It matches the Rfam family "Bacterial small subunit ribosomal RNA", at positions 524 to 776 of the family's 1533-position model. The record is from RNAcentral.